GGCUGAGUGGUAUAACGAGUGGAAAAUGGCAUAACCUAUUGAAUUAUCUGCAUAUUGUACGGACUGCAAAGCCGUGGACCUCGGUUCGAUUCCGGGCUCAGCCUCCA
RNAcentral lists this transfer RNA (107 nucleotides) under gamma proteobacterium endosymbiont of Lamellibrachia anaximandri. Its description in RNAcentral is "tRNA-OTHER". Lineage: Bacteria; Pseudomonadati; Pseudomonadota; Gammaproteobacteria. The record is from RNAcentral.